This 68-nucleotide transfer RNA is filed under the name Trichobatrachus robustus. RNAcentral describes it as "tRNA-Val". It matches the Rfam family "tRNA". From Rfam's summary of the family: Transfer RNA (tRNA) molecules are approximately 80 nucleotides in length. Their secondary structure includes four short double-helical elements and three loops (D, anti-codon, and T loops). Lineage: Eukaryota; Metazoa; Chordata; Amphibia; Anura; Arthroleptidae. The record is from RNAcentral.
CAAAAUAUAGCUUAACGAAAGCAUUUCGCUUACACCGAAAACAUAUCUACUAAACCAGAUUAUUUUGA